AACGAACGCUGGCGGCAUGCCUAACACAUGCAAGUCGAACGAGACCUUCGGGUCUAGUUGCGCACGGGUGCGUAACGCGUGGGAACCUGCCCUUAGGUUCGGAAUAACUCCCCGAAAGGGGUGCUAAUACCGGAUAAUGUCUUCGGACCAAAGAUUUAUCGCCUUUGGAUGGGCCCGCGUUGGAUUAGCUAGUUGGUAGGGUAAAAGCCUACCAAGGCGACGAUCCAUAGCUGGUCUGAGAGGAUGAUCAGCCACACUGGGACUGAGACACGGCCCAGACUCUUACGGGAGGCAGCAGUGGGGAAUAUUGGAAAAUGGGCGAAAGCCUGAUCCAGCAAUGCCGCGUGAGUGAUGAAGGCCUUAGGGUUGUAAAGCUCUUUUACCCGGGAUGAUAAUGACAGUACCGGGAGAAUAAGCUCCGGCUAACUUCGUG
RNAcentral lists this ribosomal RNA (433 nucleotides) under uncultured bacterium. RNAcentral's name for it is "partial 16S ribosomal RNA". It matches the Rfam family "Bacterial small subunit ribosomal RNA", at positions 29 to 507 of the family's 1533-position model. The record is from RNAcentral.